UCAGAUUUAUGGGGCAGUCGGGUGUCAGACUCUCAACUUGAAAGGGAUUUGGGCUUUCUAAGGGGUUAGGGAGGUGGUCAGGGGAGCAAUGGUGGACUCUCUCUAAGCACCUAAUACCCAGUACUGGGCCUCUAGUCCAGCACAGCCACCUUAUUCUGGUCUCAUACACCUCGGACCCUCUGGACAUUACCGACACCGGCCCGGUCUGGCUCCGAUAGCCGCAGUGUGGAUGGCAGCAGCAGCGAGGUUAGAGUGCCCUUACCGACGCCCACACAGCCACAUGCCACGCUCCGGCGUGCAGACACCCAGGCACAGGAUGAGCCAACAGAACAUCUGACCAUGAAGCUUGCCAGGCUGUGGAUCCUCCAGCCCUGCAAUCGCAGAAAACCAUUCUCCAUCCAUAUUAAAGCACAGCCCUCUCCAUCACUGGUGCCCCUGACAACACAGGAAAUUGAUCCCACCCGACAGCAGACUCAGCCUACACACUGUUUAUCUCCACAAUUAUCCCCCAUUCAUUCACAGGCUUAUAAGGUAAACUGCCAUUCAGCGAUGUGAAACCACGGGUCUGGCCUGGCAAUUUGAUGUAAUUGUGCCACUGUGAUCAUCUGUAGUAGGAGCUAGGCACAUCAUUUAUUGUGGCAUUCUAUUGGAGGGAGAAAAUUAGAAUGAAUGAGUCUUUGAUUUUGGGAGAGGGACAAUUGUGUAGUAUAAUGUGGCUGAGAUCAAACAAAAUGGAGGUAGAUAUAG
Long non-coding RNA from Coregonus clupeaformis (lake whitefish), 747 nucleotides. RefSeq lists it as uncharacterized. The record is from RefSeq and is a predicted model, not a curated record. The transcript is spliced from 4 exons. NCBI's taxonomy places the organism in Eukaryota, Metazoa, Chordata, Actinopteri, Salmoniformes, Salmonidae.